This 1270-nucleotide ribosomal RNA is filed under the name Chaetosiphella stipae. RNAcentral's name for it is "16S ribosomal RNA". Lineage: Eukaryota; Metazoa; Arthropoda; Insecta; Hemiptera; Aphididae. The record is from RNAcentral.
AAUUUAAAUUAUUAAUAGUUUUAUUUAUAUUUAAAAAUUUUAUAAAAAUAAUUUAUUUUUUUUUUGUUUAAGUAUUUAUUAAGAAUUAAUUGUUAAAUUUAUAGUUAAUUAGUAUUGUAAAAGAAUUAUUUAAAUUAAAAAAAGAAUUUUAUAAGUACCUUUUGUAUCAGGGUUAAUUAAAAUUUUUAAUUUAUUUUAAAUUCUCAAAAUUUAUAGAGUUAAUUUUGUUAUUAAUUUAUUGUUAUAAAAAUAUUUAAAAAAUAAUAUUAGUUUUGAAAUGUAAUUCGUUAUAAUAUAUUUAGUUAUUUAAGAUUUAAAUUUAAUUUAAAAUUUUAAAAGUUUUAUUAAUUUAAAUUAUUAGUAUUUUAAAAUUAAAUUAUUUUAGGGAUAAGCUUAAAAUUUUUAUAUAAUUAUUUUUAUUAAUUAAAUAAUUGAUAGGAUUAGAAAUUUUUAAUUUAAGUUUGUAAAAAUUUAUUAUUUUGUUAAAUUAAAAUUUAUUAAAAUUUAAUUUAUUUUUAAUAUUAAAUUUUAUAAAUUAAUUAUUAAUUUAUAGUAAUAAUGAUUAAAUUAGUAUAAUUGAAAUUUAUAAAUUAUGAAUUCGGCAAAAAUUAUUUUCAUCUGUUUAACAAAAACAUUGUAUUAAGUUUAAUUUAAUAUAGGAUCUGCUCAAUGAUUUUAUUAAAUAGCUGCAGUAUUUUGACUGUGCAAAGGUAGCAUAAUAAUUAGUCUUUUAAUUGAGGACUUGAAUGAAAGAUUUGAUGAAAAAUAAACUUUAUUAUUUAUAAAAUUAAAAUUUUAUUUUUAAGUAAAAAAGCUUAAAUUAUUUAAAGGGACGAUAAGACCCUAUAAAACUUUAUAAAUAUAAAUUUUUAAUUUUUUGGUUUAAUAAAUAUUUAAAUAUUUUUAUUUAUUUUAUUGGGGUGAUAAAAAAAAAUAUUUAACUUUUUUUAAAUUUUAACAUUAUUUAAUGAAUUUUUUUGAAUUAAAAUUUUUAGUUAAAGGAAAAAGUUACUUUAGGGAUAACAGCGUAAUUAAUUUUUUAAGUUCAAAUUUAAAAAUUAGUUUGCGACCUCGAUGUUGAAUUAAGAAUAAUUUUAGGUGCAAAAUUUUAAAUAUUUAGGUCUGUUCGACCUUUAAUUUCUUACAUGAUUUGAGUUCAAACCGGUGUAAGCCAGGUUGGUUUCUAUCUUUUAAAUUAUUAAUUAUUUUAGUACGAAAGGAUUUAAUAAUUAAAUUAAAUUUUAUUUUAAUGAAUAACAUUAAUUAUAUA